This is a long non-coding RNA of Arabidopsis lyrata subsp. lyrata, 566 nucleotides long. RefSeq lists it as uncharacterized. The transcript has 5 exons. NCBI's taxonomy places the organism in Eukaryota, Viridiplantae, Streptophyta, Magnoliopsida, Brassicales, Brassicaceae. The record is from RefSeq and is a predicted model, not a curated record.
GGCGAGACUAGUCGCCGCGGAGGGGGCGAGACCAGUAGCCGUGGAGGACACCAGACCAGUAGCCGCGGAGGAACAAGAACAUGUUUAGGUGCAUCCUUAUGUAGCUACUUACUGGGAACAAGAACUUUGGUAUCAAGAACGAGAAGCUAUAAUGGUUUCUGGAUGAGGGAGGUGAAUGCACAUCCCGAACUGCUAAAGCUUGUUGGGACUCAUUGCCAUCUAAGCUCAACCAUUACAAAGGUGUAUCUACGUAACAUGCAGAAUGGUUUAAGGUUUUCUCAUUCGCCAGAUCUUGAUUGAGGUAGUAGUUGUUCAAUUCAUCCCAUGUUUGGUCGGUUAGUGUUUGAGGUUUCCUAAUUUUUUGAACCAUGUCUGGACAUGGGCUACUAUAGCAAUAUGUCUUUGAUCCUUUAAUUUUAUCCUAAAACCAAAGAGCUAUGAUAAGAGAUCCUGAAAGCACGAUACUAUUGCAGGUCUUUAUGAAAGACAAGGAUCCUGACUUGGCAGCCUUCAUGUCUUCUUCUCCACUCCAGCAACCACCAGUCAUCAUACCAGCCAGCACACAA